ACGAACGCUGGCGGCGUGCUUAACACAUGCAAGUCGAACGGAAAGGCCCUGCUUUUGUGGGGUGCUCGAGUGGCGAACGGGUGAGUAACACGUGAGUAACCUGCCCUUGACUUUGGGAUAACUUCAGGAAACUGGGGCUAAUACCGGAUAGGAGCUCCUGCUGCAUGGUGGGGGUUGGAAAGUUUCGGCGGUUGGGGAUGGACUCGCGGCUUAUCAGCUUGUUGGUGGGGUAGUGGCUUACCAAGGCUUUGACGGGUAGCCGGCCUGAGAGGGUGACCGGCCACAGGAGGACUGAGAUACGGCCCAGACUCCUACGGGAGGCAGCAGUGGGGAAUAUUGCACAAUGGGCGGAAGCCUGAUGCAGCAACGCCGCGUGCGGGAUGACGGCCUUCGGGUUGUAAACCGCUUUCGCCUGUGACGAAGCGUGAGUGACGGUAAUGGGUAAAGAAGCACCGGCUAACUACGUG
Molecule: ribosomal RNA, 467 nt
Filed under: uncultured bacterium
Lineage: Bacteria
Description: partial 16S ribosomal RNA
Rfam family: Bacterial small subunit ribosomal RNA
Source: RNAcentral